This is a long non-coding RNA of Catharus ustulatus (Swainson's thrush), 833 nucleotides long. RefSeq lists it as uncharacterized. The record is from RefSeq and is a predicted model, not a curated record. The transcript is spliced from 4 exons. NCBI's taxonomy places the organism in Eukaryota, Metazoa, Chordata, Aves, Passeriformes, Turdidae.
ACGGCCCCAGAGAGCUCCAGGAGCGUUUGCACAGCGCUGCCAGGGUGGGAUCGUCGGGGCGUCUGUGCAGGGCCAGGGCUUGGACCGGAUGGCCCUUGUGGGGCCCUGCCAGCCCCGGAUGUUCUCUGAACGACGUGAGACUGGGUAAAACGCUUCGUACGUAAGGGUGUACUGGACAUGGUAGAAGCCUUAUUCUGUUCUGGCUGCUCAAGGACACUUAGCAGGAUCUACAGGCAUACCUCAAGGCAUCUCGACUGCAAGAGAGAUUUGUUCUGUUUCAGUGUUUACUCUGUUGAAAGGAACCCUGGAAAAGCAAGCUGUUAUCCAUGAGGAAUCCCUUUACUCUUGAAAGUUGAGCUGUCUUUGAGACCUACUGCAAAGGGUACACAGGACAUUCAGAUCUCUGGAGACAAGGCUGAGCACUACUGAGUGGGGAGUGGCUACUGUGCACAGGCAGCUCUGGCAGGAAAUGAACGUUGGACUGCAGGGAAUGGCCAAGGUGAGACUUGGCCCUGCAGUCCUCUGGGGUCUAUGGGGACUCGCAAAGAUGUGAAAGGGCUGCAGGCCACGGGUGGAGCAGUGCUGACCCAGGCUGUGACCCAGCCAAGGAGUUCUUCCAAUGUCCCUUGAGAGGACACCGCAGGGGUUUUUUCUUAAUAAGGACUUCUGAGAAGGCAAGGUGUGGACUCUUGGUUUCAUGUAAAUAUUUAUUUAAAUUUUUGUCUCUGAAAGCAAAGCAUUUAUCUCCUGACUUCCCUGCUAUUCAAUAUCUACUGAACUGGGUGUGCAUUUUCCUAAGCUAAUAAAAAAUUUCUUGUCCUGUGUGCUCCCCA